RNAcentral lists this ribosomal RNA (2112 nucleotides) under Triticum aestivum (bread wheat). RNAcentral's name for it is "partial small subunit ribosomal RNA". Lineage: Eukaryota; Viridiplantae; Streptophyta; Magnoliopsida; Poales; Poaceae. The record is from RNAcentral.
AAACCAAUUGAAAGUUUAGAUUCGGGCAUUACAAAUGCCACUAGAAGGAUUCAUAUAAAUAUGGGUCCAUUCCAAUCAAUUGAUCAUAAAUAUAAAAAAACACCACAAGGGAAUUCUUCCAAAAAAAAGAAGCUUUCUUGGUUCAAGAACCAUGGCGAUUGGUUGGAAUAUAGUGUUCAUAAAGAAGCGGCCUUUUGUUUCUAUUGCUUUCUUUUUAAGCAACCAAGAAUAGAAAAUUUUGGUAUUGAGGCAUUCCCAAGGAUGGGAUUUAGAAAUUGGAAGGAUGGACCUAGUGUUCGUGAUACACAUGUUGGUAAACAUAAUAGUGCUCACAAUGAAGCAAGACAAUAUUAUGAGGCUUUCAAAAAUCAAAGGCAAUGUGUGGCACAUGUGAUGGAUCGUGAAGGUCAUGUUUUUCGUGGCCAUGAUGAGAGUUUGAGCCCAAAUAAUAGGGGGGACUUUUUGGAGAUGAUGAGUUGGUACAGGUAGAAGGAUCCAAUUGCUAGGACUUUGCUUGAUAGUACGGGUGGGAACCAUUUGAUGACAUCGCGUGAGAUAUAAUUUCAACUGUGCCAAUCUUGGGGAGAAGAGACCACCAGCUCCAUUAUUGCUCAUAUUGGUGAUAUGUUUUUUUCUUUACUUGUUGAUGAGUCCAGAGAUGCAUCUAUAAAAGAGCAAAAGGUAUGGUCUUAAGGGUAUGUCAACAGUCAUGGGUGUACGAUUGAGAGACUUACUGAGAUUAAGCAUAUUGGUGACACAAGAGUAGCUUCUCUAAAGGCAACUUUGGAUGGUAUGUUUCUUGAACAUGGCUUGUCUAUGUCUAAAUUGAGAUUCAAAGGGUAUGAUGGAGCUUCUAACAUGAGAGGACAAUUUCGUGGGUUGCAAAAGUUGAUACAAGAUGAAAAUCCUUACGCAUUUCAUAUCCAUUGUUUUGCCCAUCAGUUGUAGUUAGUGGUUGUUGCUGUUGCCAAGUGUUGUUCCUCUGUAAUGGAUUUCUUUAAGCGCAUAACUUUGAUUGUCAAUACCGUCCAUGCUUCUUGUAAGAGACAUGAUGAAUUAGCCCAACAACAUCAUGACAAUAUUGUAAGCCAAUUGGACUCCGGGGAAAAUAAUUCAGGAAGAGGGAAAGAACAAGCAAUCAACCUUGUUCGACAAAAUUUAAGACAAAGAAGCACAACAGGUGGCUUUAUUUCUCAGAUGGAAAGCUUUGAAUUGGUUUUCAUGUUGCAUCUUAUGAUCAAACUAUUGGGCAAGACUAAUCAGUUGUCACACUGUUUGCAAAGGAAAUAUCAAAACAUUGUUCUUGAAGUGAGUUUUAUAGGGGUCGGGUUGUAGAAAUUUCAAGAUAUAAAAGAAAAUGGUUGGGAUCAGCUCUUGGAACAGACAAAUGACUUUUGUGUUAAACAUAACAUUAUAUUGCCUAACAUGGAUGUUACAAUACCUGCUCAAGGUCGUUCGAGGGGGCGUGGUGGUCAAAUGGUAACUUAUUAUCAUCGCUUCAGUUAUGAAUUGUUCAGUGUUAUGCAUGACUAAGUUAUUACUGAUUUAAAUAAUCGGUUUGCUGAAAGAUCUACUCAAUUGCUAAGAUGCAUUGCUUGUCUUCAUUCAAGGAACUCAUUUGCUAAUUUCGAUGAAGAAAAAAUUGUUGAACUUGCUAAGUUGUAUGUUGAUGACUUCUCCAUAUAUGAGAUUGCUUUUGUCCUUAGAAAUCAGCUUGAAACAUUCAUUGCUGAUGUGAGAGCUAAUCUAGAUUUUGUUAGUUGUAAUGACCUUGGUAAUCUUGUUGUGAAGAUGGUUGAGACUAGUAGACACAUCGUUUUUCCUUUGGUAUAUCGCCUCAUUGAGUUGGCAUUGAUUUUGCCUAUUGCAACCGCAUCAGUGGAAAGAGAUUUCUUAGCUAUGAAUAUUAUCAAGACUGGGUUGAGGAAUAGGACGAGUGAUAAUUGGCUGAACUAUAGAAUGAUUUGCUAUAUUGAGCGACAUGUAUUUGCGAGUAUUGAUGAUGAAGCUAUUGUGUAUCGCUUUCAAUCAUAUACGCCUCGCAAAGGGAUUUUACCUCAUCAAAGGGGCACAUUUUUAAAAAACUUUAUCAAUGAUAAUUGUUUCACUUGA